Molecule: long non-coding RNA, 2885 nt
Organism: Equus caballus (horse)
Lineage: Eukaryota; Metazoa; Chordata; Mammalia; Perissodactyla; Equidae
Source: Ensembl
CUAAAUUCUCAAACGUUCCCGUUUUUAAAUCUCUGUACUUCACAUACCAUCCUUCUUUAGCGGUUUAGACUUUUUUUUAAAAUGACUCUUUAUUUUGAUGAGACUUCCAAACUAACGCUAAACUAUGUUUUCAGAGAGACAGGUUUUAAGAAUCAGAAUAACAAACCAAGCUUCUGUUUAAUGCAAAGUUAAUGUUACUACAGUUUAAUCAUGCCCUCUCCACACCUGCUUCCCGGGCUUCUGCCAUAGCGUUUUUUCAAGGAUUUUGGAUCUCCGUAUGUUUUUCCCUUCUGGUCUUUGUCAAUGGUUUUCAUAAUUGGUUAAGAUGAGAUAGUUAGAAAAUGACCUGUGAACGGCAGGAAAAACCACUUUAACUGGUAAUUUAGCUGAACCUUUAACUAUUUCAGCUAUGUCAUUGAGCAAACAGAUUCGAGAACUGACGGAGAGUCUGUUCUAAGAAUGUUUUGAUCCCUGCCCCCUUCCCACCCAUGCAACUAUGGAUGCCUAGUCCAAGAUAAAAAGGGCCAGGGACAACAUUGUGUUCACCAUCAUAGAGUUGAUUAAAACUUCACUGAGGCAAGCACCAAUGUUUAGAAAGCCUUGAGUACAGUUAGACUGUAAGUUCCUUGAGGACCAGAAGUGGUAAACAUCAUUGGACUCCUCAUUUCUAAUACAUCACAUGGCCUAGCACACAGAGGUGCACAGCAGAUACUGGUGAAUAAAUGGCGACUUAUGAGAAAUUUAGAUAUUUCUUCUAUCUACCUCUUCCUUACACACAUCUUAUUAGCAGACCUAAUUCAAAUUUGAACCAUCUCGGGUUUCUGUCUUCAUUGCAAAGGCCCAUCUGGGCUCAUCAAUCUCACCCUCUUCACCAAACAACUUGAGUCACACAGCAUAUGGUUAGUAAUUUAUCACCUUUAAAAAAGCAAAACUCAGCUAGGGAGUAAUUGCAGUCCAGAAAAUCUCAUUAGUAUAGUACAGCAAGUCCAAUCCUCCCACCAACUUUUCAACAGUGCAAAAGAACAAAUACAUGCCCACGUUCAAGAAGUGAUAGUAUUUAUAUGAUCAGACUAUAAUCAUGCACGAUUUAUUACCACGUGGCUUUGGAAUAGUUCAGUUUACAGAUCUAAGAAAAUUAUUCAAUAUCUGAUGGGAUCGUUCAGAAUAAGAUUAAACUGCUCAAUGCUGUUGUCAAAUACAAAAAAAAGAAAGUAUGAGUGCCAAAGUUUCCUCAGAGGGUUCUUAUGGGAUUCUUGACCCGAUGCCUGAAAAGCACUUAUGCAGAGCCAGACACAUCUUGAAAGCACAAUAAAUCUCUGCUGCUAUUCCUCUGCCCCAUAAUUUCUGUUUGAGCAAAGGUGAGUAAUGUUAACCCUCUGGCAACAUUUUCUCAUCUAUAAAAAAGGGUAUUAAUCAUAGCCGUCUGUAUGGUUGUGAGGAUCUGAUGGUACAGUGGAAAGCUCUGUGUAAACCAUGGCCAAUAUUUAGUAGUUCUUCUUAUUGCUAAUUAAAUGCCCAGAAAUCAAGUGUUAACAGCUAUUCAUUUACCUUAGUAUUUGUUCAAUCUACAUCCGUCACCCUUGAUAUGUGUGUGAGAGGGGUUCUUUCUAAUAGUAUAUUUCAAUAAGUGAAUUAAUGACACUAUAAUAUUCACUGACCAUAUAUUUUACAUAUUAUCGUAUAUGCACUUAUUAAUUGAAACACUGAGUUUAUACUCUGAACUAAGCACAGUUCUAUAUCCUGGGGAAUGUGGCAAUGAAUAAUAUGGAUGGAUUUCCUAAAUAUCAUGGAGUUACUUUGAAGAGAGACAGACAAGAAAAAAAUUAAUAUGUCAAGUGAUGAAUAGCUGUGACCAAAAAUAGAUUAGGGGCCUAAAGAGUGUUAGGGGUGUGGUCAGAGAAGGCUCCUUCUGAGAAGGUGGCAGUUGGCCAGAGAUUUGAAGGAAAUGAGGAUGAAGUCAUGCAGAGGAAAGAGCAAGUGCAAAGUUUCUCAGGUGGGUUCCUGCUUGGCCUAUUAAAUAGACAAUAAAGGAGACAAAGUGGCUGGAGAGAGGCGAGUGAGGGGGAGAUUGGUGGAGACAAGGAUAGAGAGAAAUAUAGAAGGCCCGGUAGGCUGAUGAAGAGGACCCAUCAGUGGGUUACACUCUGAGUGAGAUGGCAGCCUUGGAAGGUUUGAGUGGAGGACUAAUAUGAUCUAACUUACACUGUAGGAGACUCACUGUCUCAGUCCAUUCGGCUGCUAUAGCAAAGAUACCGUAGACUGGGUGGUUUCUGAACAAACAGAAAUUUGUUUCUCACGAUUCUGGAGGCUGAGAAAUCCAGGAUCAAGGUGCUAGCAGAUUCAGUGUCCUGACUCACAGACAGCUCUUUUCGCUGUGUCCUCACAUGACUGACAGGGGAAAGGGAGCUCUCUGGGGGCUCUUUUACAAACAUACUAAUCUCAUGCAAAGACCUAAUCACCUCCCAAAGGCCCCAUCACCAAAUACCAUUACACUAAGCAUUAGGCUUCAACAUGCGAAUUUGGGGGGAUACAAACAUUCAGUCUGUAGGUCUCACCUUGGGUGCCAUGUAGAGAAUAGAUUGCAAGUACAGCAGGUGUGGAAGGAGGGAGAAUCGAUAAGAGGCGAUUGCAAUUGUCUAGGUGAGAAAGCAUGGUGGGUUAGAUUAGAGAGUAGCAAUAGAGAAGACGAAAUGAUUACUGGAAAUGAUUUUGGAAAUAUUUAGAAAGUAGAGCUGGGGGGAUAUACUGUUGGUUUGGAGGUGGGUGGGAAGACAGAAGAAUAAUGCUGAGAAUGACACUAAGACUUUUGGCCAGAACAACUGAGAAUGUAGAAUGGAGAUGCUGUUAAGUAAAGAAGGAACUACUGGAGGAGGAGAAGAUGUAAG